AACGUAGGAGACAAACGUUAUCCGGAGUUACUGGGCGUAAAGGGCGUGUAGGUGGUUUCGUAAGUCUGGCGUGAAAUUUUUCGGCUUAACCGGGAAAGGUCGUCGGAUACUGCAGAACUAGAAGACGGUAGAGGCGUGUGGAAUUCCGGGUGUAGUGGUGAAAUGCGUAGAGAUCCGGAGGAACACCAGUGGCGAAGGCGACACGCUGGGCCGUACCUGACACUGAUGCGCGACAGCAUGGGGAGCAAACAGG
This 253-nucleotide ribosomal RNA is filed under the name uncultured bacterium. RNAcentral's name for it is "partial 16S ribosomal RNA". It matches the Rfam family "Bacterial small subunit ribosomal RNA", at positions 524 to 776 of the family's 1533-position model. The record is from RNAcentral.